CGGGGAUCGAGCCCUGCGGGCGGCGGGGCAGCGCGGUGGAUCCGGGUGGGGCGGGGACACGUGGGGCGGACACGCUCCUGCCGGGGGGGCCGGGCCCGCCAGCCUGAUCCGCCCCUGCUCCGGGUGGGCUGUCGGGGGGCGGGCGUGUGUCCCCGGCUGCAGGAUCGGUGCCAGGGAGCGGCUGGGCCGGAUGCUGCAGGAGGCACCGGAAGGGCAUCUGGCCCCUCGGAGAGAAGAGAGCAAAGGAGCCAAAGUCGAGGAGGAGCAGCAAAGGAAGGAGCUGCUGAAACAGACUCAAGCCGAGAGACAGAAGAUAGUCUGGGAGUUGAAAGAGCUGCGAGAUUUUCUGGAGGAGCAGAAGCAGCUCCUUCUCUCCCAGCUGGAAGAGCUAGAGAGAUCCAUCGUCCAGAGAGGGGAUGAGGGCCUUUUCAAACGGUCCCAGGAGAUUUCCGUGCUCAGUGGCGGAGAAGGAGAAAGGGGGCAGCAGCCACUGAGCCAGUCCCUGCAGACAGAUGAAGGUUUUCUUCUGCUAAAGAGCCUGGGAAGAAACUUUCCCCGGCCUAAGGAGACAUCCCAUGGGAGACGGCAGCUGCUCUCUGAACGUGAUUGGGAGUGCCUGAAAUUCCCCAAACCCUCAGGACUCCAAUGGUUCCUGCCCGGCAGAGCAGAGGCCUCCCCAGGCUGGGACACCCGCUGACUGCCUCUUCUUUCUCUCCUCUCAGGGUGCUGGAAACACUGCGAGCAGCAAAGCAGACGGGACGUUUCCGGAGCCAGAGCCGGGGUUUGUGGAGCUGGAGAGGAGACUCAGCGAUUUCUCUCUGAAAAGUGCCAUCCUGCAGGAGCUGCUGCUAGGAUUCAAAGGUGAGAUGGGAUCUGGGGACGGCGUCUGCGUUAGUUACAUUGACCAUCUCCCUGGGGAAGGCGUC
Molecule: long non-coding RNA, 926 nt
Filed under: Pelusios castaneus (West African mud turtle)
Lineage: Eukaryota; Metazoa; Chordata; Testudines; Pelomedusidae
Description: lncRNA (ENSPCEG00000002996.1)
Source: RNAcentral